Molecule: transfer RNA, 74 nt
Filed under: Chitinophagales bacterium
Lineage: Bacteria; Pseudomonadati; Bacteroidota; Chitinophagia; Chitinophagales
Description: tRNA-Met
Rfam family: tRNA
About the family: Transfer RNA (tRNA) molecules are approximately 80 nucleotides in length.
Source: RNAcentral
AGCAAGGUGGAGCAGCCCGGUAGCUCGUCUGGCUCAUAACCAGAAGGUCGGCAGUUCGAAUCUGCCCCUUGCAA